UAGGGAAUCUUCGGCAAUGGGGGGAACCCUGACCGAGCAACGCCGCGUGAGUGAAGAAGGUUUUCGGAUCGUAAAGCUCUGUUGUUAAGGAAGAACGAGUGUGAGAAUGGAAAGUUCAUACUGUGACGGUACUUAACCAGAAAGGGACGGCUAACUACGUGCCAGCAGCCGCGGUAAUACGUAGGUCCCGAGCGUUGUCCGGAUUUAUUGGGCGUAAAGCGAGCGCAGGCGGUUAGAUAAGUCUGAUGUGAAAGCCCACGGCUCAACCGUGGAGGGUCAUUGGAAACUGGAAAACUUGAGUGCAGAAGAGGAAAGUGGAAUUCCAUGUGUAGCGGUGAAAUGCGCAGAGAUAUGGAGGAACACCAGUGGCGAAGGCGACUCUCUGGUCUGUAACUGACGCUGAGGCUCGAAAGCGUGGGUAGCAAACAGG
RNAcentral lists this ribosomal RNA (430 nucleotides) under Bacteroidota bacterium. RNAcentral describes it as "Bacteroidetes bacterium partial 16S ribosomal RNA". It matches the Rfam family "Bacterial small subunit ribosomal RNA", at positions 355 to 776 of the family's 1533-position model. The record is from RNAcentral. Lineage: Bacteria; Pseudomonadati; Bacteroidota.